GGUGGUUUAUAAAUGGGUUACUUUGAUAUAUUUUCUGCUUUUCUUUUUAGCUGCAAAGUUCCUGUUUGCAAACUUGAUUGUGUAAUAGAUACGCAUCCUUAGAAACAACUUCAGCAUAUAUUCCACAGGAAAUGUUGGGCAGUGUUGGAAUGUGAUGGGUAUACCAUUAAGGGUCUUCAGCAGCUUACCACCGACUGUUGUGGACUUGGUAUAAACUGAGAAGUUUUUCACGAAGCUGUCCUCCAGGCACAAAAUAUAGUCGAGGAAACACUGAGAAGGCAUAUGUAAUCCUCCAGAAGCAUUGUCCUCUUUAUAGUUUUUGAAGUAGCAGAAUAAUUUGCUGCUGUUAUCCAAAUUCGCCGACUCCAAAGUUUCUUUACAUGUGGAACAGUCAUGGAUGUUGAAACAUUUCUUCAGGAGAUAUCCUGCAACAUAUGCAACAGCAUUUUCUUGGACUACACCAGAACUAACAUGUUGCUCUCGGUAAUCUGUUGCACCAAUAACCAGUGUUUGUGGUUGGGGAGUUGGUUGCACCAGAACAGGAUUGCUGGACUUGCUGGAAAACUGUGAAAGGAGGGAAUCCAAAUCUUCUGCACAGUUACCAGUAGUUGAAGUUAGAAGUGAACUGAAGAGUAGUUUCCUAAAUGCCCUUGUGAACUGUGUAGGGGUUGGAUUGUCACUAUUCCCUCCCUGUUGUCGUAUAGUGCCAAAGAAGUUUUCUAAUGGGUCUGUAUUCAAUCUUCGUGUGUAUAAAAAUUUGAAAUUGUGGUUCUUCUUCAGAUCAUCCCAGAUUAAUAGGAUAGCAUCAAGGGUUACAAGCCACCCCUUAAGGCACUUAAUUCUACCUGUUACCUCUGUAUCCCCAUUAUAUACUUUCAAGCUUAUUAUGAAAUUAAUGACUUCUUUAAGGAAAUUAAUGUGAUUGGAUUUUUCAGUGAAGGCCCUUUUAAGAUCUUUAGGUGAAUGUAGUGUUGAACUGUUGACACUAUCAAAUAAAGAAUCAAAUUUAGAAAUGAACUCUGCUGUACCCAUGGCAGACUGUGGCAGGAAUACGUACGUGAUGGACUAUGCUUUCCAUAACAGCACAAUUUUGAUGUAUAGGCUACGUGUAUUACAUUGGUUUUCCAGUUAUUCUGACAUAGGAUGCCUUAGAUAACUGCAGUAUAUACAUGCAUUGAAAUAAAGGCACAACAAAGUUCCCUUAUUCAAAAACCGGAUGGCUAAGCUUCUCUGGCAACUGCAAGACUUUCGCAGUUGGGUAAAAAUCUGUCAUUUGGGCAAAAAAGACACAAAUAUCCUGGAUGAAUUUACUGGGGGGUGGGGUGCACACACCCCUAGCCCUGACCAAAG
Paramuricea clavata is the source of this 1350-nucleotide non-coding RNA. NCBI's taxonomy places the organism in Eukaryota, Metazoa, Cnidaria, Anthozoa, Malacalcyonacea, Plexauridae. The record is from the annotation of a GenBank genome assembly.